GACUAACGCUGGCGGCGUGCUUAACACAUGCAAGUUGAACGGGGCACAUUUUGUAGCAAUACUGAGUGUGCUUAGUAGCGGACGGGUGAGUAACGCGUGAGUAACCUGCCUUUGUGAGGGGGACAACAGCUGGAAACGGCUGCUAAUACCGCAUAAGACCACAGCUCUGAGUGGAGCUGAGGUAAAAGAUUUAUCGCACAAAGAUGGACUCGCGUCCCAUUAGCUAGUUGGUGAGGUAACGGCUCACCAAGGCGACGAUGGGUAGCCGACCUGAGAGGGUGAUCGGCCACACUGGAACUGAGAUACGGUCCAGACUCCUACGGGAGGCAG
RNAcentral lists this ribosomal RNA (330 nucleotides) under uncultured Bacillota bacterium. Its description in RNAcentral is "bacterial SSU rRNA". It matches the Rfam family "Bacterial small subunit ribosomal RNA", at positions 28 to 351 of the family's 1533-position model. Lineage: Bacteria; Bacillati; Bacillota. The record is from RNAcentral.